AUGCUACAAACCAUACUAGAAUGGGGCACAGAAGUGGAAGUUGAAAUCAGAGAAGACGAAGAAAUUCACAACCCUGAUCCAUAUGAUUUUGUCUACAGCAACAUACCAAAAAAUACACAUGUGCUCAAACCGGAAGAAAAUUGCAGAUUAUGUCAUGCAAAAAAAUUCAAGUACGAGACUAAGGGGUUAUGCUGCAGAAAAGGACGGAUAAGACUAGCCAGUCCAGAUACACCACCUGAACUCAUGAGACUUUGGACAAGCAACGACUCUGAUGCAAGACAUUUUCGAAAAAAUAUAAGAUUUUUCAAUGGACACUUCUCAUUUACUACUCUAUACUGUCACCUUGACAGAGACACAACUGACAUGCGAACAGCUGGUAUUUACACCUUUCGAGCUCAUGGUCAGAUCUAUCACAACAUACAUUCAUUUGGUAAUAGUCACUCAGAUCCAAAGCAUUUGGAGCUAUACUUCUACAACGAUGAUCCAAGCUUAGAGCAUCGAUAUCGUCGUUGCCGCGAGGAAAUGUACGAGCAAGACAAGCAUGUGAUUGGAAUAAUAACCGACAUCCUACGCGGUAACCCGUACUCUCAACAGUAUAGGAGUUUGGGACAAGCCCAAAACCUUGAGGACUACAGAGUCAUCUUGAACCUUGACCAAAGAUUGGACCAGAGAACAUACAACGCACCAAUCAAUUCGGAGGUAGCUGCAGUGUGGAUUGAAGGAAAUGAAAGAAGAGAUACUUAUGACAGGAGUGUAAAACUACAUGGGAACAACAACGAAAAAGAGCACAUUCGAUCAUAUUACGGGUGCUAUGAUCCGUUGUCGUAUCCUCUAUUCUUUCCAAUAGCUGAACUGGGUUGGCAUAGGAAAAUCCCAAAGAAGAAUACACAAGAGGAAGAUAUUGGUGCUGAUAAUAUCAAUAAUGACGACAACCCAGAUUCGGUCAACGGCUUGUGGGUAACCAUGAAAGAAUACUACUCCUAUAAAUUCCAUACAUGA
Molecule: ribosomal RNA, 999 nt
Filed under: Triticum aestivum (bread wheat)
Lineage: Eukaryota; Viridiplantae; Streptophyta; Magnoliopsida; Poales; Poaceae
Description: partial small subunit ribosomal RNA
Source: RNAcentral